GAUGAACGCUGGCGGCGUGCCUAAUACAUGCAAGUCGAGCGAACAGACGAGGAGCUUGCUCCUCUGACGUUAGCGGCGGACGGGUGAGUAACACGUGGAUAACCUCCCUAUAAGACUGGGAUAACUUCGGGAAACCGGAGCUAAUACCGGAUAAUAUAUUGAACCGCAUGGUUCAAUAGUGAAAGACGGUUUUGCUGUCACUUAUAGAUGGAUCCGCGCCGCAUUAGCUAGUUGGUAAGGUAACGGCUGACCAAGGCAACGAUGCGUAGCCGACCUGAGAGGGGGAUCGGCCACACUGGAACUGAGACACGGUCCAGACUCCUACGGGAGGCAGGAGUAGGGAAUCUUCCGGAAGGGGCGAAUGCCUGACGGAGCAACGCCGCGUGAGUGAUGAAGGUCUUCGGAUCGUAAAACUCUGUUAUUAGGGAAGAACAAAUGUGUAAGUAACUAUGCACGUCUUGACGGUACCUAAUCAGAAAGCCACGGCUAACUACGUG
RNAcentral lists this ribosomal RNA (497 nucleotides) under uncultured bacterium. RNAcentral describes it as "partial 16S ribosomal RNA". It matches the Rfam family "Bacterial small subunit ribosomal RNA", at positions 28 to 507 of the family's 1533-position model. The record is from RNAcentral.